This 2255-nucleotide unclassified non-coding RNA is filed under the name Melitaea cinxia (Glanville fritillary). Its description in RNAcentral is "misc RNA ENSMCXG00005005394.1". Lineage: Eukaryota; Metazoa; Arthropoda; Insecta; Lepidoptera; Nymphalidae. The record is from RNAcentral.
AGAUUUUUUUUUUUUUUUAAUUUAUUGAGAGCUGGAUUCGAGUCCUUCGCUCUAAACUGUACAAAUUUUUACUAUUUUAUUAUGUAUAUAAUUAUAAACAAAAACUUCUACACUUCAGAUUUUUUUUUUUUUCCUUAUUAUAUCUUCUCUAUUGUCGAACAUAUAAACUUGAAUAAUGGUUUGAAAAAUCUUGGGUUGGCUAAUAUUUCUUCUGGGCGGCGGGGAGUAUUUAUUUUAUUUUCUGAGCAAAUUUUAUCUAUAUCCGAAGCCAGGAUUAAUCUAUGCAACUUCAAUGACUCGCAUUUAAAAAUAAUGUGGUUUAUAUCGGCGUAUGGCUCACUGCAUUUACUACAUUUAGGAUCUUGAAUAAUUUUUAAUUUGAAAAGAUGAGAGGGAAUUAGACAAUGUCCAAAUCUCAUUCUAUUAAUUAUGGAGAUAAAUUUUCUUGAUUCACAGCUGAUGAUGUUAUACCAGGGCUUAGUAUUGAAGUCUUUUUGAAUUUUAGCGUACCAUUGUCCUUUAUUCUGUUUUGUUAUGGUCCAAUAAUCUCUCCAAAGUAUAUUAAUUCCGUCUUUGAUGAUUGGAAAGUAAUCUGAGAAAGGUGUUUUAACAACAUCUCUAUGGUCCUCAUCAUAUCCACAUUUUGCAGCUUGAUCAGCUUUUUCAUUACCAGAUAUUCCUCUGUGGGAGGGUACCCAGGCUAGCUCAACGUAAACAUUUCUCGCAUUUAAAUUGUACAGUAAAUUUCUAAUCUUAAAUACUAAAUAAUUUGUUUUAAAGGUUAAUUUACAACUGUCUAUAGCUAAUAAAGCGCUUUUGCUAUCGCUAAUAAUAAUAACAUUUCUAACAUUAUUACUGGAAUUUACAUAUAAUAAUGCCAUAUAAAUUGCGUAACAUUCUGCAGUAAAAAUUGAACAAUUGUUGUUUAGUAAAAUACAUUUUGUACAUCCUAAAUUACUGUCGAAAUAAGCUGCUUUAACUUCUUGGGUGCUUUUGGAUCCAUCCGUAUAAAUUUUAUAAAAAUCUUUUUUAUGAUCUAAUAUUCUAAGCAGUUCUGUUUUACUAUUGAUAUCGAGAAUAAUUGUAAAUUUUUUUUCCCAAAUGCUUUCAAAUUUAUAUCCAUAAACAGGCCAUAGAGAGCUAGAAUAGACAGAUUUUGAGAUAUUUAUCGUUAAAUGUAAAAUAGCUGACAUUUGCGGAAGCAUUGCAGAAUUUAUUGAUUGAGCGUUAAUAAUAUUUGUAGAAGACACUAUACAACUCGAUAAUUCUUCUACUAACGUUAACUUCCUAACAGGUAUUUUUAAUUCACUCAAAACUCUGAUCAAUUGAAACAGGUUCACAUUAUCAUAUGCACCCUCAACAUCCAGAAAUACACAUAUUGCAUUAGAGUGAGCAAAGAUAGAAUUUUUGAUGUCAGCAAUGAAUGAAACGAAGCCUUCAACUGCACUUUUACCUUUUCUGAAACCUAGUUGAUAAUCAGGUGGACAAUAUACACAUAGAAUAGUUAGAGGACCGACUUUUGUAUCAACAGAAAUAGCAAUCGUUUGAACAUCUUGGAAAUUUGGGAGUUGAAAGUUGGACAUAUUUUAUAGAACUUUUAAUUAAAAAGGCUACACCACCAUGUUCAUUUUCAGCAUUUUUAAAAAUAAAAUCAUACCCAGGCAUGUGAAAGUGUGACUGGGAACUUUUUAACCAUGUUUCAUUUAAUAAACAUAUAUCUAUUUCAUUAUCGAAUAAAAGUGUUUGUAACAAAGGUUUUUUAUUAUUAAUACUUUGUAUAUUAUGUUGUACUAGUUUUAAACUAUCCAUUAUUCAGAUAAGUUUUUAAUAAAAAUUUCCUUAAUAUGAGAUGUGGUCUUAAUUGAUUCAGAAUUUCCUAAUGCUACUAAUGUUUUUACUAUCGAAUUCAUGACUUUUGUAUUAUUUACAAUAUCUGAGAUAUUAAAGUUAUCUGUUUUUGUUGGUACAUGAGCUAAUUCUAUAUUUUUAUUACUGUCAACUUUUCCUGUGUAUUUCUGUAUGCUACUCUUAGGAAGAGCUGGAAAGUUUACAAAAUCUUUAUUUAUAGUAGCCAUUGCAUAAGAUUGCCUAUGUUUUAAUAUUCUAGCUGCUUUUAUUGGACAAUCUUUUGAAAUAGCUAGAUGAUUUCCAGAGCAAUUAGUACACUUUAACGUUUCAGAAAUACAAUCUUUAUAUGAAUGAUUUUCAGAGCAUUUAGAACAAACCUGUUCACUACGACAUAUUUUAGCUGAGUG